AAGCGGCGUGGACGCGAUGAUCACAGCCCUGUAAGCGGUUGCUUGGGGCUGCGGGAGCAAGUAGCGAGACCGGCCACGCAUCUC
RNAcentral lists this non-coding RNA (84 nucleotides) under unclassified sequences. Its description in RNAcentral is "c-di-GMP sequence". It matches the Rfam family "Cyclic di-GMP-II riboswitch aptamer". The record is from Rfam by way of RNAcentral.